UACAUCGGCUGGGAAUCGAACCCGGGCCGCCCGCGUGGCAGGCAAGCAUUCUACCACUGAACCACCGAUGC
RNAcentral lists this transfer RNA (71 nucleotides) under Cordylochernes scorpioides. RNAcentral describes it as "tRNA-Gly". The record is from RNAcentral. Lineage: Eukaryota; Metazoa; Arthropoda; Arachnida; Pseudoscorpiones; Chernetidae.